Molecule: ribosomal RNA, 231 nt
Filed under: uncultured bacterium
Lineage: Bacteria
Description: partial 16S ribosomal RNA
Rfam family: Bacterial small subunit ribosomal RNA
Source: RNAcentral
CGGACGGGUGAGUAAUGUCUGGGAAACUGCCUGAUGGAGGGGGAUAACUACUGGAAACGGUAGCUAAUACCGCAUAACGUCGCAAGACCAAAGAGGGGGACCUUCGGGCCUCUUGCCAUCGGAUGUGCCCAGAUGGGAUUAGCUAGUAGGUGGGGUAACGGCUCACCUAGGCGACGAUCCCUAGCUGGUCUGAGAGGAUGCCAGCCACACUGGAACUGAGACACGGUCCAG